GUCUCAGUACAUGCCGAAUUAAGGUGAAACCGCGAAUGGCUCAUUAAAUCAGUUAUGGUUCAUUAGAUCGUGGACACAUUUACUUGGAUAACUGUGGUAAUUCUAGAGCUAAUACAUGCAAACAGAAUUCCUCUCAGAGAUGGGAGGAAUGCUUUUAUUAGAUCAAAACCAAUCGGUGGCGGACGGCUCGUCCGUUCGUCCAUCGUUUGUUUUGGUGACUCUGAAUAACUUUGUGCUGAUCGCAUGGUCAUCUAGCACCGGCGACGCAUCUUUCAAAUGUCUGCCUUAUCAACUGUCGAUGGUAGGUUCUGCGCCUACCAUGGUUGUAACGGGUAACGGGGAAUCAGGGUUCGAUUCCGGAGAGGGAGCCUGAGAAACAGCUACCACAUCCAAGGAAGGCAGCAGGCGCGCAAAUUACCCACUCCCGGCACGGGGAGGUAGUGACGAAAAAUAACGAUACGGGACUCAUCCGAGGCCCCGUAAUCGGAAUGAGUACACUUUAAAUCCUUUAACGAGGACCAAUUGGAGGGCAAGUCUGGUGCCAGCAGCCGCGGUAAUUCCAGCUCCAAUAGCGUAUAUUAAAGUUGUUGCGGUUAAAAAGCUCGUAGUUGAAUCUGUGUGUCACAGUGUCGGUUCACCGCUCGCGGUGUUUAACUGGCAUUAUGUGGUACGUCCUAUCGGUGGGCUUAGCUCCUUGCGGGCGGUCCAACUAAUAUCCCAUCGCGGUGCUCUUCACUGAGUGUCGAGGUGGGCCGAUACGUUUACUUUGAAAAAAUUAGAGUGCUUAAAGCAGGCUACCUUUGCCUGAAUACUGUGUGCAUGGAAUAAUGGAAUAGGACCUCGGUUCUAUUUUGUUGGUUUUCGGAACCCCGAGGUAAUGAUUAAUAGGGACAGAUGGGGGCAUUCGUAUUGCGACGUUAGAGGUGAAAUUCUUGG
This 936-nucleotide ribosomal RNA is filed under the name Apis mellifera (honey bee). RNAcentral's name for it is "SSU rRNA". It matches the Rfam family "Eukaryotic small subunit ribosomal RNA", at positions 57 to 923 of the family's 1831-position model. Lineage: Eukaryota; Metazoa; Arthropoda; Insecta; Hymenoptera; Apidae. The record is from RNAcentral.